ACUCCUAGCUUGACUAUUGGACUAAUCUAUACAAACAUAGAAGCAAUACUGUUAAUAUGAGUAACAAGAAAUUUUUCUCCUCGCACAAGCUUAUUUCAGUAGCUGAUAGUAUACUGAUAGUUAACAACUAAUAAAUAAAACCCAACACUAAACUAUUUAUUAAUAUACUGUUAACCCAACACAGGUGUGCAUUAAGGAAAGAUUAAAAAAAGUAAAAGGAACUCGGCAAAUAUAAACCCCGCCUGUUUACCAAAAACAUCACCUCUAGCAUAACUAGUAUUAGAGGCACUGCCUGCCCAGUGACAAUAGUUAAACGGCCGCGGUAUCCUGACCGUGCAAAGGUAGCAUAAUCAUUUGUUCUUUAAAUAAGGACUUGUAUGAAUGGCCACACGAGGGUUUUACUGUCUCUUACUUUUAAUCAGUGAAAUUGACCUCCCCGUGAAAAGGCGGGGAUAAUAAAAUAAGACGAGAAGACCCUAUGGAGCUUUAAUUAACCAACCCAAAAAAUCUUAAAUCUUAACCACCAGGGAAUAACAAAACUUUAUAUGGGUUGACAAUUUUCGGUUGGGGGUGACCUCGGAGUAUAAAAAAACCUCCGAAUGAUUAAAACUUAGGCCUACCAGCCAAAGUAUCAUAUCACUUAUUGAUCCAAAACUUUUUGAUCAACGGAACAAGUUACCCUAGGGAUAACAGCGCAAUCCUAUUCUAGAGUCCAUAUCGACAAUAGGGUUUACGACCUCGAUGUUGGAUCAGGACAUCCUAAUGGUGUAGCCGCU
RNAcentral lists this ribosomal RNA (776 nucleotides) under Ziphius cavirostris (Cuvier's beaked whale). RNAcentral's name for it is "partial 16S ribosomal RNA". It matches the Rfam family "Bacterial large subunit ribosomal RNA", at positions 1460 to 2563 of the family's 2925-position model. The record is from RNAcentral. Lineage: Eukaryota; Metazoa; Chordata; Mammalia; Artiodactyla; Ziphiidae.